GCGAGCCGUAUGAAUCGAGAGGUUCACGUCCGGUUCUGGGAGCGCCCGAGGGUGAAAGUCCCUGACCCGAC
This 71-nucleotide non-coding RNA is filed under the name Bradyrhizobium erythrophlei. Lineage: Bacteria; Pseudomonadati; Pseudomonadota; Alphaproteobacteria; Hyphomicrobiales; Nitrobacteraceae. The record is from RNAcentral.